RNAcentral lists this long non-coding RNA (255 nucleotides) under Mytilus galloprovincialis (Mediterranean mussel). Lineage: Eukaryota; Metazoa; Mollusca; Bivalvia; Mytilida; Mytilidae. The record is from RNAcentral.
GUUUCAUGCUGAACCAAAUAUUCUCACAGAUAUUUAUACAGUGUGGUGGGGUGCUUUUAUGUUUAAAAUCGUUAUAUACAGGUUAGACUGUGAUUUUAAAAACAAAUGUUGAUAUCUUUUUAUAAUAUUUACAAAAUAAAAACGGUGCGGGAAAUGGACAUGAUUACAUUUCCGGAUGCGGGAAGCGGGAAUAUAAAAAAAAUAAAAAAAUUCUGUUUCGAAAAAAAUAGGUGCAGGCGGGUCCGUCGAACAAGG